AAAUGAAUAGACGGGGGCCCGCACAAGCGGAGGAGCAUGUGGCUUAAUUCGAUGCAACGCGAAGAACCUUACCCGGGCUUGACAUGUGACUGCACGCCCCGCGAAAGCGGGGUUCCUUCGAGGGUGUCACACAGGUGCUGCAUGGCUGUCGUCAGUUCGUGCCGUGAGGUGUUUGGUUAAGUCCACCAACGAACGCAACCCCUGUGUCCAGUUGCCAUCGGGUAAUGCCGGGGACUCUGGACAGACCGCCCGUUCACACGGGAGGAAGGUGGGGACGACGUCAAGUCAGUAUGGCCCUUACGUCCGGGGCUGCACACGUGCUACAAUGGCCGGUACAGCGGGAUGCGAAGCCGCGAGGCGGAGCGAAUCUCUCAAAACCGGCCCCAGUUCGGAUUGCGGUCUGCAACUCGACCGCAUGAAGUCGGAUUCGCUAGUAACGGCGUAUCAGCCACGACGCCGUGAAUACGUUCCCGGGCCUUGUACACACCGCCCGU
This 494-nucleotide ribosomal RNA is filed under the name uncultured bacterium. Its description in RNAcentral is "bacterial SSU rRNA". It matches the Rfam family "Bacterial small subunit ribosomal RNA", at positions 903 to 1397 of the family's 1533-position model. The record is from RNAcentral.